CCUACGGGAGGCAGCAGUGAGGAAUAUUGGUCAAUGGACGAGAGCCUGAACCAGCCAAGUAGCGUGAAGGAUGACUGCCCUAUGGGUUGUAAACUUCUUUUAUAAAGGAAUAAAGCGAGGCACGUGUGCCUUGUUGCAUGUACUUUAUGAAUAAGGAUCGGCUAACUCCGGGCCAGCAGCCGCGGUAAUACGGAGGAUUCGAGCGUUAUUCGGAUUUAUUGGGGUUAAAGGGAUCGUAGAUGGGUUGUUAAGUCAGGUGGGAAAGUUGGCGGCUUAACCCUCAAAUUGCAGUUGAAACUGGCGUUCUUGAGUACAGGUGAGGUAGGCGGAAUGCGUGGUGUAGCGGUGAAAUGCUUAGAUAUCACGAAGAACUCCGAUUGCGAAGGCAGCUUACUGGCCUGCAACUGACACUGAGGCUCGAAAGUGUGGGUAUCAAACAGGAUUAGAUACCCGUGUAGUC
This 460-nucleotide ribosomal RNA is filed under the name uncultured bacterium. Its description in RNAcentral is "partial 16S ribosomal RNA". It matches the Rfam family "Bacterial small subunit ribosomal RNA", at positions 338 to 795 of the family's 1533-position model. The record is from RNAcentral.